Molecule: ribosomal RNA, 1544 nt
Filed under: Escherichia coli
Lineage: Bacteria; Pseudomonadati; Pseudomonadota; Gammaproteobacteria; Enterobacterales; Enterobacteriaceae
Description: partial 23S ribosomal RNA
Rfam family: Bacterial large subunit ribosomal RNA
Source: RNAcentral
AGCGUCUGGAAAGGCGCGCGAUACAGGGUGACAGCCCCGUACACAAAAAUGCACAUGCUGUGAGCUCGAUGAGUAGGGCGGGACACGUGGUAUCCUGUCUGAAUAUGGGGGGACCAUCCUCCAAGGCUAAAUACUCCUGACUGACCGAUAGUGAACCAGUACCGUGAGGGAAAGGCGAAAAGAACCCCGGCGAGGGGAGUGAAAAAGAACCUGAAACCGUGUACGUACAAGCAGUGGGAGCACGCUUAGGCGUGUGACUGCGUACCUUUUGUAUAAUGGGUCAGCGACUUAUAUUCUGUAGCAAGGUUAACCGAAUAGGGGAGCCGAAGGGAAACCGAGUCUUAACUGGGCGUUAAGUUGCAGGGUAUAGACCCGAAACCCGGUGAUCUAGCCAUGGGCAGGUUGAAGGUUGGGUAACACUAACUGGAGGACCGAACCGACUAAUGUUGAAAAAUUAGCGGAUGACUUGUGGCUGGGGGUGAAAGGCCAAUCAAACCGGGAGAUAGCUGGUUCUCCCCGAAAGCUAUUUAGGUAGCGCCUCGUGAAUUCAUCUCCGGGGGUAGAGCACUGUUUCGGCAAGGGGGUCAUCCCGACUUACCAACCCGAUGCAAACUGCGAAUACCGGAGAAUGUUAUCACGGGAGACACACGGCGGGUGCUAACGUCCGUCGUGAAGAGGGAAACAACCCAGACCGCCAGCUAAGGUCCCAAAGUCAUGGUUAAGUGGGAAACGAUGUGGGAAGGCCCAGACAGCCAGGAUGUUGGCUUAGAAGCAGCCAUCAUUUAAAGAAAGCGUAAUAGCUCACUGGUCGAGUCGGCCUGCGCGGAAGAUGUAACGGGGCUAAACCAUGCACCGAAGCUGCGGCAGCGACGCUUAUGCGUUGUUGGGUAGGGGAGCGUUCUGUAAGCCUGCGAAGGUGUGCUGUGAGGCAUGCUGGAGGUAUCAGAAGUGCGAAUGCUGACAUAAGUAACGAUAAAGCGGGUGAAAAGCCCGCUCGCCGGAAGACCAAGGGUUCCUGUCCAACGUUAAUCGGGGCAGGGUGAGUCGACCCCUAAGGCGAGGCCGAAAGGCGUAGUCGAUGGGAAACAGGUUAAUAUUCCUGUACUUGGUGUUACUGCGAAGGGGGGACGGAGAAGGCUAUGUUGGCCGGGCGACGGUUGUCCCGGUUUAAGCGUGUAGGCUGGUUUUCCAGGCAAAUCCGGAAAAUCAAGGCUGAGGCGUGAUGACGAGGCACUACGGUGCUGAAGCAACAAAUGCCCUGCUUCCAGGAAAAGCCUCUAAGCAUCAGGUAACAUCAAAUCGUACCCCAAACCGACACAGGUGGUCAGGUAGAGAAUACCAAGGCGCUUGAGAGAACUCGGGUGAAGGAACUAGGCAAAAUGGUGCCGUAACUUCGGGAGAAGGCACGCUGAUAUGUAGGUGAAGUCCCUCGCGGAUGGAGCUGAAAUCAGUCGAAGAUACCAGCUGGCUGCAACUGUUUAUUAAAAACACAGCACUGUGCAAACACGAAAGUGGACGUAUACGGUGUGACGCCUGCCCGGUGC